UAUCUAUAUGUUUCCCUUCGUGAACCCCGUUGAGCCUUAGCCAUUUUAUUCAUCAUAAACCCCCUGUUAACUAUUAAGCAUUAUUCAUCACAAACCCCCUGUUAACUAUUAAGCAUUAUUCAUCAUAAACCCCCUGGUAACUUUUAAUCAUUCAAUUUUUUCCAUAACUCGGUAUGAUUGUAUGAAUUGCAAGAUGUGCAAUAAAACUAAGUUUGGGGUGGAAAUCUUGAAAGAGAAGGCAAGUGCAUAAUAAGAGAUCAUACAAAAAGAAAAAGAGUAUGUAUGUGCUGUAAAAAAAAAAGGAAAAAAAAGAAAAAAGAAAAACAAAAGAGAAAAAUGCACUUGCCGAGACUUAAGACUCGAACACAUAUAAAAUGCUCGAAAAAUUUGAGUAGAAAAAGAGUCAAAAGAGUGAAAUUAACCCCCAGAGUAUACGUGAUGCACGAGAAAAAGAGAAAGAAAAAUCACACAACGUGAC
Molecule: long non-coding RNA, 478 nt
Filed under: Lathyrus oleraceus (garden pea)
Lineage: Eukaryota; Viridiplantae; Streptophyta; Magnoliopsida; Fabales; Fabaceae
Description: Pisum sativum (pea) long non-coding RNA (PSAT_LNC029547)
Source: RNAcentral